Molecule: ribosomal RNA, 1372 nt
Filed under: uncultured bacterium
Lineage: Bacteria
Description: 16S ribosomal RNA
Rfam family: Bacterial small subunit ribosomal RNA
Source: RNAcentral
GAUGAACGCUGGCGGCGUGCCUAAUACAUGCAAGUCGAGCGAACGGACGAGAAGCUUGCUUCUCUGAUGUUAGCGGCGGACGGGUGAGUAACACGUGGAUAACCUACCUAUAAGACUGGGAUAACUUCGGGAAACCGGAGCUAAUACCGGAUAAUAUUUUGAACCGCAUGGUUCAAAAGUGAAAGACGGUCUUGCUGUCACUUAUAGAUGGAUCCGCGCUGCAUUAGCUAGUUGGUAAGGUAACGGCUUACCAAGGCAACGAUGCAUAGCCGACCUGAGAGGGUGAUCGGCCACACUGGAACUGAGACACGGUCCAGACUCCUACGGGAGGCAGCAGUAGGGAAUCUUCCGCAAUGGGCGAAAGCCUGACGGAGCAACGCCGCGUGAGUGAUGAAGGUCUUCGGAUCGUAAAACUCUGUUAUUAGGGAAGAACAUAUGUGUAAGUAACUGUGCACAUCUUGACGGUACCUAAUCAGAAAGCCACGGCUAACUACGUGCCAGCAGCCGCGGUAAUACGUAGGUGGCAAGCGUUAUCCGGAAUUAUUGGGCGUAAAGCGCGCGUAGGCGGUUUUUUAAGUCUGAUGUGAAAGCCCACGGCUCAACCGUGGAGGGUCAUUGGAAACUGGAAAACUUGAGUGCAGAAGAGGAAAGUGGAAUUCCAUGUGUAGCGGUGAAAUGCGCAGAGAUAUGGAGGAACACCAGUGGCGAAGGCGACUUUCUGGUCUGUAACUGACGCUGAUGUGCGAAAGCGUGGGGAUCAAACAGGAUUAGAUACCCUGGUAGUCCACGCCGUAAACGAUGAGUGCUAAGUGUUAGGGGGUUUCCGCCCCUUAGUGCUGCAGCUAACGCAUUAAGCACUCCGCCUGGGGAGUACGACCGCAAGGUUGAAACUCAAAGGAAUUGACGGGGACCCGCACAAGCGGUGGAGCAUGUGGUUUAAUUCGAAGCAACGCGAAGAACCUUACCAAAUCUUGACAUCCUUUGACAACUCUAGAGAUAGAGCCUUCCCCUUCGUGGGACAAAGUGACAGGUGGUGCAUGGUUGUCGUCAGCUCGUGUCGUGAGAUGUUGGGUUAAGUCCCGCAACGAGCGCAACCCUUAAGCUUAGUUGCCAUCAUUAAGUUGGGCACUCUAAGUUGACUGCCGGUGACAAACCGGAGGAAGGUGGGGAUGACGUCAAAUCAUCAUGCCCCUUAUGAUUUGGGCUACACACGUGCUACAAUGGACAAUACAAAGGGCAGCGAAACCGCGAGGUCAAGCAAAUCCCAUAAAGUUGUUCUCAGUUCGGAUUGUAGUCUGCAACUCGACUACAUGAAGCUGGAAUCGCUAGUAAUCGUAGAUCAGCAUGCUACGGUGAAUACGUUCCCGGGUCU